UACCAGCACCCCGAGUGGUCGGGACGUUUAUUGGGCCUAAAGCAUCCGUAGCCGGUUCUACAAGUCUUCCGUUAAAUCCACCUGCUUAACAGAUGGGCUGCGGAAGAUACUAUAGAGCUAGGAGGCGGGAGAGGCAAGCGGUACUCGAUGGGUAGGGGUAAAAUCCGUUAAUCCAUUGAAGACCACCAGUGGCGAAGGCGGCUUGCCAGAACGCGCUCGACGGUGAGGGAUGAAAGCUGGGGGAGCAAACCGG
This 253-nucleotide ribosomal RNA is filed under the name uncultured bacterium. RNAcentral's name for it is "partial 16S ribosomal RNA". It matches the Rfam family "Archaeal small subunit ribosomal RNA", at positions 474 to 727 of the family's 1478-position model. The record is from RNAcentral.